Molecule: ribosomal RNA, 497 nt
Filed under: uncultured bacterium
Lineage: Bacteria
Description: partial 16S ribosomal RNA
Rfam family: Bacterial small subunit ribosomal RNA
Source: RNAcentral
GAUGAACGCUGGCGGCGUGCCUAAUACAUGCAAGUCGAGCGAACGGACGAGAAGCUUGCUUCUCUGAUGUUAGCGGCGGACGGGUGAGUAACACGUGGAUAACCUACCUAUAAGACUGGGAUAACUUCGGGAAACCGUAGCUAAUACCGGAUAAUAUUUUGAACCGCAUGGUUCAAAAGUGAAAGACGGUCUUGCUGUCACUUAUAGAUGGAUCCGCGCUGCAUUAGCUAGUUGGUAAGGUAACGGCUUACCAAGGCAACGAUGCAUAGCCGACCUGAGAGGGUGAUCGGCCCCACUGGAACUGAGACACGGUCCCGACUCCUACGGGAGGCAGCAGUAGGGAAUCUUCCGCAAUGGGCGAAAGCCUGACGGAGCAACGCCGCGUGAGUGAUGAAGGUCUUCGGAUCGUAAAACUCUGUUAUUAGGGAAGAACAUAUGUGUAAGUAACUGUGCACAUCUUGACGGUACCUAAUCAGAAAGCCACGGCUAACUACGUG